UGGCUCGGUGGUUAAGAGCAUUGUAUUGCUCUUCCAAAGGUCCUGGGUUCAAUUCCCAG
RNAcentral lists this transfer RNA (59 nucleotides) under Mus musculus (house mouse). Lineage: Eukaryota; Metazoa; Chordata; Mammalia; Rodentia; Muridae. RNAcentral also lists the same sequence under 1 other name. The record is from Rfam by way of RNAcentral.